UAGAUAGAUAAAGGUUUGAAGAUAGAUAGAUAGAUAGAUAGAUAGAUAGAUAAAUGUUUGAAGAUAGAUAGAUAGAUAGAUAGAUAAGGUUUGAAGAUAGAUAGAUAGAUAGAUAGAUAGAUAGAUAGAUAGAUAAGGUUUGAAGAUAGAUAGAUAGAUAGAUAGAUAAGGUUUGAAGAUAGAUAGAUAGAUAGAUAGAUAGAUAAGGUUUGAAGAUAGAUAGAUAGAUAGAUAGAUAGAUAAGGUUUGAAGAUAGAUAGAUAGAUAGAUAGAUAGAUAGAUAGAUAGAUA
This is a long non-coding RNA of Labeo rohita (rohu), 291 nucleotides long. RefSeq lists it as uncharacterized. NCBI's taxonomy places the organism in Eukaryota, Metazoa, Chordata, Actinopteri, Cypriniformes, Cyprinidae. The transcript is spliced from 4 exons. The record is from RefSeq and is a predicted model, not a curated record.